RNAcentral lists this long non-coding RNA (2873 nucleotides) under Dasypus novemcinctus (nine-banded armadillo). RNAcentral describes it as "lncRNA (ENSDNOG00000051822.1)". Lineage: Eukaryota; Metazoa; Chordata; Mammalia; Cingulata; Dasypodidae. The record is from RNAcentral.
GCGCUCAACCACUGGGCCACAUGGGCUCCCCUGAAUUGGUUUUUCUUGAUUUGUUUUUCUUGUUUUCUGUUUGUUUUAAGGAGGCACUGGGAUUCGAACCUGGGCCCCCGUGUGGGAAGGAGGUGCUCAACCGCUUGCACCACACCCGCUCCCGCCCCCGCAGCAUCUGCCCACCGCUGUGAACCACGCCCAAGAAGCAAACCCUGAGAGGGACACGCAGUAGGGCGUUCCCUGUGGAGCGGAGGGGACAGCAGCUGGGCUGGAGCGGGGUGAGGGGGCUGAGCCGGGAUGGGCCCUGCGGUCAGUCGCGGGGUGCGGGCUGGCCCGGGAGGGCGGCGUGACGCACGAUCCUUCAGCGGAGGCCGUCCUGGAGGCGGCGUCCUGGCCACGCGUCACAGCCCUACCUCGAUGCCAGCGGCGCCAAGUCAGGCAGCGGGGAGCCAGGUAACACGUGUCCCUCCUGUGGGUGCGCGCCUGACGGAGGCUCUGCGCGGCGGCCGCUGGAGAGCAGGGCGCAGGACCACGUGGUAUUUAGGGAGGGGUGGGAUUCUUCGUUAGGACUCUCGGGAGAUCCUCACUGCAGGGGGGGGGGGCGGGAAUGGGUUUCUGUGGCCCCCAGAGGAAGACGGGUGCAAAGGUGGGCCCCUCUAGGGGAGCCUUCCCAGAGCGCGGCAGCCUCAGCCUGCCCGAGGGGCAGGAAAGCUCCUCUGGCUGGCUUGAGCUGGGGCCCAUGGGUGCCCGGUGUUCCCACUGCCGCCUCCCACCCCUCAGCCUCCCUCCCUGCCAGACCGGGUUCCACCUCCCGGCCCCCAGGGGCCUCGUGCCUCGGGGAGGGGCUGCGGAUCAGCAGGGUUUUGUAUGAGCUGCUAGUGAGAGUGUAAAUUGGUGCAGCCACUUUGGAAAAAGCUGUGACGUUACCUUGUAAAAUGGAAUGUUUGCAAACCCUAGGGCCAGCAUCUACUCUUAGGGAUUUGUCAGCAGAAACUCUUGCACCGGGGGAUGUGUACUGCAGGCACCGAGGGAGGGCCUGCUUCCCACGUGGGAGGUCCGGGGUUUUGUUCCCGUGCCUCCUGAAAAAAUGAAAAUGAAUGAAAAAAAGAAGGAGAGCCGUUGUGGCUCAGAGGUUGAGCACUGGCUUCCCACUUACAAAAGUCCUGAGCUCAGUCUUGACCCUGGUACCUCAAAACAAAACGAAACAACUCAAGCAUCCACUGACAGGAGAAUGGAUAAAUGGAUAAAUAAAGAACACUAUAGAAAUAAGAAGUACAGGAAGCAGCUCCUACUUCCAGAGUGGGGGAACCAAAGGCAGGCUCUGAGGAGGGGGUACCACCCAACCACACACAGCUAACUGUAGAAUAUAAAGAUCAAAAAAAGAAAAACCAAGCACUUGUAUAUUUCAGCAUAUGUACCUACGUGGCAAAACGUGGGUUUUUCAAUCAAGGGAACGAUAAACACAAAAUUCAGGAGAGUGAUUUCCUUUUACACAGGCAGGUGAGGGGUGGAUGAAAAGGAACACACCGGCAGAUGCAAGUUGCAGGUGCCGCUCUAGUUCUUACAUGACCAGUGGGUUGAUGAGUGUUGACCCUAUUUUGUUUCAUAACUAGCAUUUCGUUAAGUGUGCUUUGUGGCAACUAGCCUCUAAGGAGGAUCCCGAUGAAACUCACCUCCUAGAAUUCAUAUCCCUGCCCAUCUUGUCAAGGUUGACCUGUGUGAUCAAUAAAAUGUGCAAAGCGAUAAUGAGUCACCUCCAAGAUUAGGUUUUAAAAGACACUGGCUUCUCUUUCAGUUUCUCUGGCUCGCUCUCUUGGAGCAUUCGCUCUGGGGGAGGCCCCUGCCCUGUCUGAAGCAGCACUCUGGAGAGGGCCCUUGGCAAGAAACUGAGGGCUCCUGCUGACAGCCACACGCUGAGCUUGGAGGGGAUCCAACCGCAGCCCCAGCCAGCGUCCUGCAACUUCACACAGCACCCUGAGACUGAGCUGCUCCAAGAUUCCCCACCCUCAGAAACUGCGUGAGGUAAUAAAGCAUUGCUGUUUCAAGCUACUAAAGUUUGGGGGGUAAUUUGUUACACAGCAUUACAUAACCAAUACAUACUCUUGCACAUAAAUAGAAUAUUUGAAUUUUAGAAUGUAAAUGAGAAAAACUUCAGAGAAAAAGAGGGAAAGGAACCCGGGAGGCAGGCUGUGGCACAGCCACGACACCCUGGUAGAGAUGGCAGAGGAGAGGCCGCCUGUGUACAGGAGAGGAAAAAGCUGAGGAUCCCGGCAGGGAGACUGCAGGGCCAACACUGCUACGAGAUGUGGGGCUGAGGGAGGCUGGAACAGAAGAGGACAGGGAGGAGGCCUUCUGGGGAGGGAGAGGAAGGCAGGGGAGCAUCCUGCCUCCCCACAAACCAGCCCCUCUUUCCAGGUUUCCUGUGAGGCCAGGCCUUGAAAGCUGGUGUGAGGUACCUCUGGCCCAUGGAAACACAGUGACUUGCAGCCCCUGAGGACGUCGCACUUACCUAUGUCAGCGUGGGGGUAGUUUGUGUUGUGACUGAGGUGUGCAUGUGUGGAGGGGGUGGCAGCUGGGGUCGGAGUGAUGGGCCAGGUACACAGUAGCUAGCCCGUCCAAUGCCAAGGACAAGGACAGAGUUCUGAAAGCUGCAAGAGAAAAGCAAUGAGUUAGGUACAAGGUAGCCCCAAUUAGACUGAGGGCUGAUUUCGCAUCAGAAACCAGGGGGGCAAGAAGGCACUGAGUUGCAAUAGUUAAAGUGCUGAAGAAAAACAACUGUCAGCCAAGAAUUGUAUAGUUGGUGAAACUCUCUUUCAAAAAUGAGGGUGAGAGGAAGCCAUUCCCAGAUAAACAGAGCUGAGGGAGCUCAUCACCACUGGACC